This is a non-coding RNA of Pelobates cultripes (western spadefoot toad), 205 nucleotides long. The record is from the annotation of a GenBank genome assembly. NCBI's taxonomy places the organism in Eukaryota, Metazoa, Chordata, Amphibia, Anura, Pelobatidae.
GUGAUGUAUAACCUUGGCACCAUGGAUUGCAGGGAAUGCAGUUUGUUACGCUAUUAGCUGGGAUGUAAAAGUUCUUCAUCUUGUAUUUCUGUCUAUCUGGCCGCUGCUUUUUCUAUGGACAAGUCAAAUCCAUUAAACAAAGUGAGAAUGCCUACCUUUUUCUCCCGGAAACGAUUUCACAACCCUGGCAUAUGACACGAUGAAG